CAGAGGUGGCCUGGUCAGACUGCAGCCAGGGCAAGGAGGUGAAUGGCACAGCGCAGACACCAGGGGAAGGCACAGGAGUGGAGGAGCGAACCAGGGAUGGGAGCCGAGUGGCGUGAGCAGGGCCCGGUGUCUCCUCCCCCAAGGAAGAAAGGGGCUUCUGUCUGUAGCGGCCCGGCCCUCACUGCACACAGUAGGCGCUCAGCACGGCAUUCCCGUGGGACCGUGGACGUUCGCUGCCCUCUCAGAACCGCCGGACGCCACCAGCACUCAGAACCCCGCGUCAGGUUCUGGCCUCCCAACGCCUCCGUACCUGGCCUCCGUGCCCCGAUCUUCACUGAAGGCCUACUAUGCACCAGAUGGUGUUAUAAGUCCUGGGGGUAAAGCAGAAUAAGGCAAGCAAACACCUCUGCCUUCGUGGAGCAGACAUAAAGCAACCAAAAAUAUAAUGCAAUAACAUCGAACUUAGAAGUUCUAUUAAAAAUAAACAACAACAGGCUCUCUGCUCCUCCCCGUUCAACAGACAGCCACGUAUUCUGGUGCAGUGCC
RNAcentral lists this long non-coding RNA (546 nucleotides) under Zalophus californianus (California sea lion). Its description in RNAcentral is "lncRNA (ENSZCAG00015012942.1)". Lineage: Eukaryota; Metazoa; Chordata; Mammalia; Carnivora; Otariidae. The record is from RNAcentral.